RNAcentral lists this long non-coding RNA (1050 nucleotides) under Sus scrofa (pig). Its description in RNAcentral is "lncRNA (ENSSSCG00040017069.1)". The record is from RNAcentral. Lineage: Eukaryota; Metazoa; Chordata; Mammalia; Artiodactyla; Suidae.
GAAUUUUAAAAAGUGGAAACAGAGAGAAGAAGGGAAUUUAACCCCCAGGGAAAUUUUCUGCAACGUAAAAUCAGACACAGCUUUAAAAUUCAAUGUUUUCUUUCUCUGAAGAUACCCAGGACAGUUUGUCUCUGUUGUUUUUCAUCAUAUAAAUUGCUUUGCUCGAAAGGCAAGUGGGAGUAAAUAUAGCAGCAGUAUCUCUGAUGUAACAUUUACUGACCUGGCCUGGACAUGUCCUUGACACUGUCCUUUAGAAAGGAAAGAGAAGGAGAGAAACUAUGUUCCUGCUGCUGUGUGUAGGAGAAAUGCCUAUUCCUGGCCAUUAUCAGGGUUCAGGGGACUGAGGGCUGAUGAGUACAGAGAAUAAAAAUAAAGAAGUAAAAGAUGGUAGUGACUUAUCAGCUUUCCUGCAUUUGGCUGUCCCUGGCAGGUGGGCCAGAGCCAGGGCCAGUCAACAGCAGUAUUUACUGAGGUGGAGGUGGCCAGAUGCUCCUGCUGGAAACCACGAGGGGUUCAAGUUCCAGACCAGUUGCAUUUUGAAAAGUGUCCUGCCUAAAACGUUUUGGAAUAACACUCUACCUGAGAGCUGUGCCCAGGAGUUUGGGGCAGUGAUGUGCAAUGAAGUGAAAGGGAUCCACGAUGGAGCAAAUGGCUGGUGAAGAACCAAGGAUGCAGCGGGGACCUGGGAAGAAUGUGUGAUUUUCAACGAGGAGGAGGACAACACAGAGGGACCCACACCAGUCCUUCUCUCCUUGCUCCACUUACACCAGAGUAGGAGAGGAUCAAGACAGUCCUAACUAAUUGUGAUAAUCCCUGUGCUUUUGGUGGGUGUUAAAAUCAUGUAUGGGCUACCACUUGUUAUUACCUUGGUAAGGGGUCCUAAGGGGGUGGAAGAUGAUUAUUUGUUCUUCAACUGCCUUUCUUCAGCCUAAAAUAGCUAUGCACAUCAUGACUGUUUACAGAGAUUUGGAGGCAUUAACUCAAAUAAUUGUGAUAAUAUUUUUACAAACUGAAAAAUGUCUGAACUUCAUGAUCCGAGGAGUAAAGGAC